CUGGCCCAUUUGUUAAUGGGUCAUUUGAAAUAUGAAAUGAUCAAUACCAAUAAUACUAAUAUAAUGAAAAAAAGAAAAACAUAUCAAUUGUCAAGUUGUAAUUACUUUUUAUUCUUUUAUCAACAUUGAAGUACUACUACAACAACUCAUUCAUCACAACUACAUAUAACUAAAAAUAUAGAAGAUGGAUAUAUAGAUUAAAACGAUAUAGCUUGGCAUGACGAUCGAUAUACCAUUGGCGGACUGUCGGCGGCCAGGCCGUUAGUAGGGACCUGUUAGAAAAAUACUGUUUUUUGUAAUGAAACUAAGUAGUCUUUCUCGCAUUUUAAAUAACUAGUUAGCAUGAUCGAUUAAUUAAGAUCACAAUAAAGAAGACAAGGAUCAAAAUAUGUGCGAACAAGAAGGGGAAAGUGGAGGAGAUGACAAAGGGUGAGAUGAAAAUGACGAUGUAGGGAUGUUGGAGAGUGGUGUAGUCGGAAGUGAUGGAGGCCGGAAAAGGUAAAGUUGAAGGUGAUUGGUAAGCGACACAUAUAUAUGUUAACAUUUACUUUUGCAAUUUGAAUUAUUAUGACGACACCUGCGUCUACAUCGAUGUCUAAAUAUUGUACAAUGCCGCUUACAUCUUCUAUAAUCCUUGUGGCAUCUUUCGAUCGAUGCAAUCAUAAUAAGGAGGAGGUGAAUGUGGUGGGUGGGGUGAAUGUGGUGGGUGGGGUGAAGGUGGAGGAGGCGAUUGAUGGAGGAGAAGGCGCGCGAUGGAGGGGGAGGCGAUUGUACUUAUUUCAUCAAAGUCUUUUGUUUUUCUUUUGAUCAUAUAUACCAACAAUGCUAAUGUAAUGAAAGAAACAAAAUAUAUAUGUCAAGUUGUAAUUAGUACUUCUUAUUCUUUUAUCAACAUUGAAGUAAUUCCACAACAACUCAAUCAUCACACAUAUAUAAACAAGAUAGAUUAAAACAAGAUAUAAAAUGACGAUCUAUCAUUUAGACAUUAAUUUGUGUAAAAUUUAGCAAGAUAGACAAACUAGCUAGGUAUGUAGUCUUUCUCACAUUUUAAAUAACUAGCAUGAUCGAUUUAAACCACAAUAAAGAAGACAUGCAUACGAUCAAGGAGGUGAAAGUGGAAGAGAUGAAGGAGGAUGAGUUGAAAAUGGAUGUGACGGAGGGGAGAGUCUACGAAGAUGGUGGAGAUCGAGUGACCAUUUAGGCGGAAGUGAUGGAGGGGAUCGAAGGUGAAGGUGGAAGGUGAUUGGGAAGUAAUACGUAAAAGUUUUUUAACAUUUAUUUUUACAACUGGAAAUCUUACGACGAACCUGAAACAACGACGCUUGCAUCUAUAUUAAAUCUUUUUGCAAGCUUUGUGGCAAUCAUUAUUAUUUGGAGGAGGUGGUGAUGGAAGAGGAGGUGGUGGGGGAGGAGGUGAUGGAGGAGGUGGUGAUGGAGGGGAAGGUGGCAGUUUAAUUAAUUUGUAACACUUAUAAAUACAAUGAAAAGUAAUCCCUCCACAAUCUACAAAGCAUUUUGUGAAGUCACAAUGGCAUAAAUACAAAGAUUAUUAUCUUGAGCACUUUCGACACUUGAUAUAAUUGAAAACGGUAGAACUAAGACGACUACAACAAGCAAUGUUUUCUGAUAACUUGAUAUAUAAAUUUCUGAUCAACAAUCCCCUCCUUUUAUACACACAUUCUGCCCUGAAUUUUAGGUUAAUUGUCGCGCAUAUUUCUUCAAUCUCUUCUAUAAUUGACAUCAAAAUCUUGCUAAAAUGGCAUUUUCAAUACCCCUUCCCAACAUCUAAUUUGAUAGGUUUUAAUAGGGUGGGCACAAAUAUUAUUUUUUAUCAUACUUUUUUUUUGAAACAGUUAAAAUUUUAUUAAAAAAUAAAGACAAUGCUCAAUUUACAAAGAGUAUAGAAAUAAAUAAAAGCUCAUUGACUCUCUUCCAUUAGUUAUGUAGUCUAGUUAUACAGUAAUUAUAUAGAAACGCUGCCACAGGAGGUUGGUCUCUCAUACUGCCUUCCAUCAUAGAUGUCUCCAAAGGGUGACAACAUUUCUUAUCAUACUUAUUUGGUAUUUCAACUUGCUUCUACAACCUCGCUUACUUAAUUAUGCUCCAAUCGUUCUAAUUAAUUUCCAAUAAUUUUUGUAUUGAGUGUUCAUAAGGACAACAAUUUUUGCAUAUACCAUGCCAAUAUUUAAUCUAUAAUAUUUAUUACUACUUUAGUUAUGUUCUACAUGUAGCCAAUUAGGGACCACUACAAGUAACGUCAAACCUUCACCCAUGACCAAGAUCAGUGGUCCUUUGACGAAAUCCUUGAAUUAGCCACGGGAUAUAUGGUCCGUGGGCAUAGGUCUAGUGGGUACGUAUUUUUAGUUACGAAAUUGAUAAUCCAUGACUAAAUAUUACUACUUUAUUUCUGUUCUACAUGUAGUCAAUUAGGGAUCAUUAACAUUUAAAAAAAAUCGAAGAAAUUUGGACAUUUAGAAGAAUUAAUAUUAGGAUAUAUACGGAUAUAAAAAUGUGAAUAUUUAGAUAUUUUUAUUUAUGCCCAUAACUAUAUUAUCACAAAUAUACAAUUUUUUGAUUAUUGGUGAAUCAAUCGUACAUUUAUUUAGUAAGAUUUCUGAUUUUUUUUUUUUAAAUUCAAAUUAAUUUCCUAAUCAUAGUUAAUUGAGAGUUAUUAAUAAGGUUAUUAUUAUCUUUCCGACUCUAAUUAAUUCUUUCAUUAUUAAUUUGAUUGUUAAAAUAUUUUUUUUUUUUUAAAUUUGACAUCCUAAAUGAAAAAAAUAAAGAUAUUUAAAUUAAUAUAUUAAAUGAGAACAUCUCAAAUCAAAUAAAUAUAUAGGAACAUUUAAAUUGUGUUAAAUAAAGACAUUUCAAAUUAGAAUACAUCGGUUGAAAUAUCAUUAGAUUCGCGAUUUAAUUUUCAAUAACUUUUAUUUUUAAUUUUUUAUUGAUUCAAUCACUGAGGUGUGAGUUAUUAUUCUUUUUUUAUAUGUAAAAUGACGUGGUGAAGAGAAAAAAUAACUUAAAUUUAAAUGUUUAACAUUUGAAAAUACUGAAUGUCUGUCCAUAUGAGACUCAACUUCUUCCUCUUCCAACAACCAAAAAUCUCACUCUCUAUUCUCCCUCCCAUCCCUAUGCCGACCGAUUCCAUAUGAGGCUCAACCGUUGAAAUACAAAUGAAUGGUAGAUUUCUACGAGACCUCAAAUGGAGAGAUGAGGCUCAACCUCAUUUGAAAUCUACCUUAUUUAUAUAUAUUAAUUGCAAAAGAAAAAGUAAAGGAAAAAGAUUACAAGCUGUUAACAUCUAAUCCAUAAAUCAUAACUAUUAAUUAUACUAAUUAUUCUAAGGUUGUAAUAUCAUUAUAAUGAUAAUAGAGAUAUGGGCUGGCCCAUUUGUUAUUGGGCCAUUUGAAACAUGAAAUGAUCAAUACCAAUAAUACUAAUGUAAUGAAAAAACAUGUCAUUACUUUUUAUUCUUUUAUCGAUCAACAUUGAAGUACUUCCACAACAACUCAGACAUCACAACUACAUAUAACUAAAAAUACAGAAGAUGGAUAUAUAUUUUAAAACGAUAUAGCUUGGAAUGACGAGCGAUAUACCAUUGGCGGAUUCGUGCAGCCUGUCGGCGGCCAGGCCGUCAGUAUGGACCUGUUAGAAAAAUACUGUUUUUUGUAGUGAAACUAAGUAGUCUUUCUCGCAUUUUAAAUAACUAGGUAGCAUGAUCGAUUAAUUAAGAUCACAAUAAAGAAGACAAGGAUCAAAAUAUGUGCGAUCAAGAUGAGGAAAGUGGAGGAGAUGACGAAGGGUGAGAUGAAAAUGGCGAUGUAGGGAUGUUGGAGAGAGAUCUAGUCGGAAGUCAUGAUGGAGGAAAAGGUGAAGGUUGAAGGUGAUUGGUAACUGGUAAGUGGCACAUGUAUGUUAACAUUUACUUUUGCAAUUUGAAUUAUUACGACGACACCUGCGUCUACAUCGAUGUCUAAAUAUUGUACAAUGCCGCUUGCAUAUUCUAUAAUCCUUGUGGCAUCUUUCGAUCGAUGCAAUCAUAAUAAGGAGGAGGUGAAUGUGGUGGGUGGGGUAGUGAAGGGUGGAGGAGGCGAUGGAGGAGGAGGCGCUCGAAGGUGGG
This 4120-nucleotide long non-coding RNA is filed under the name Zostera marina. RNAcentral describes it as "long non-coding RNA (ZMAR_LNC003708)". The record is from RNAcentral. Lineage: Eukaryota; Viridiplantae; Streptophyta; Magnoliopsida; Alismatales; Zosteraceae.